Aegilops tauschii subsp. strangulata is the source of this 471-nucleotide long non-coding RNA. RefSeq lists it as uncharacterized. The record is from RefSeq and is a predicted model, not a curated record. Lineage: Eukaryota; Viridiplantae; Streptophyta; Magnoliopsida; Poales; Poaceae.
CUCUGACUAAUUAGAAUGCUAUUCUUAUUUCAACAUUGAAGGUAUUCCUAGUGAGACCGGCAGUGGUGUGAAUGACGGCUUUGCUUCUGUGGCUUCUAAUGAGAGGGGCCGAGAUUGAGGAACAGAAUUACCAUGGUGGCCUUUUCGCAGUUUGGUUCAGAUAAGGCCCUGGAACUGGAAGUAGCACAUCAAGUUAUUGCAAGGUGGCUAGAAUUAAGACAACUCCUAGGUGAUGACCAGCCUUGGCGUCAACAGCCUCCGGAUUGUCAUGUUUCAAAUGUUAACUUCAUGUUUUUAUCUACUCUUUAUGUCUGUUGGCACUUCAGGUGUAACGAAUUAGCUGGGUUACUCACUUGCUUGCAUGGACUUGUGCACUCUGCUCAGUAAUUUACCGUUGCAUGCUGUAUUAUCAACUGCUUAUGCUUUCCUUGGUUCUGAUCAAAUGGAAGUGAGGAUGCAUCUUGUGCUUCA